AUCCAGACUCCUACGGGAGGCAGCAGUGGGGAAUAUUGCACAAUGGGGGAAACCCUGAUGCAGCGACGCCGCGUGAGUGAAGAAGUAUCUCGGUACGUAAAGCUCUAUCAGCAGGGAAGAAAAUGACGGUACCUGACCAAGAAGCCCCGGCUAACUACGUGCCAGCAGCCGCGGUAAUACGUAGGGGGCAAGCGUUAUCCGGAUUUACUGGGUGUAAAGGGAGCGUAGACGGCAGUGCAAGUCUGAAGUGAAAAUCCAGCGCUUAACGUUGGAAGUGCUUUGGAAACUGCCGGGCUAGAGUGCAGGAGGGGCAGGCGGAAUUCCUAGUGUAGCGGUGAAAUGCGUAGAUAUUAGGAGGAACACCAGUGGCGAAGGCGGCCUGCUGGACUGCAACUGACGUUGAGGCUCGAAGGCGUGGGGAGCAAACAGGAUUAGAUACCCUGGUA
This 446-nucleotide ribosomal RNA is filed under the name uncultured bacterium. RNAcentral's name for it is "bacterial SSU rRNA". It matches the Rfam family "Bacterial small subunit ribosomal RNA", at positions 329 to 792 of the family's 1533-position model. The record is from RNAcentral.